This is a long non-coding RNA of Oncorhynchus tshawytscha (Chinook salmon), 3093 nucleotides long. RefSeq lists it as uncharacterized. The record is from RefSeq and is a predicted model, not a curated record. The transcript has 2 exons. NCBI's taxonomy places the organism in Eukaryota, Metazoa, Chordata, Actinopteri, Salmoniformes, Salmonidae.
AACUAUCCGUUUUAAAAAUGUGUCCACCGUGGACUUCGUUUCCGAGGCACGGACGGGGAUCGAGCCCGCGAUCUUCGGUUUACGAGACCGACGCCUUACCACUUGGCCACCGCGCCUGGUAAUAGUGCGAAGGAAAAAUAUGAGUUUUCAAACCUUUUUCCUGCCAAUUGACUGAAUCCGUUUGGAAAAUGUUAUGGAUGAUACAAAUAUAUUUAUUGAUAGUAGCACGUUUUUAUGACGAGCAAUCUCAAACAUACAUCUCCAAACCAAGACACACCGUGUCAUCUUCCAGUUGACCACUUAGCUAAAGCUUAGCUAAAACUGACGUUGGUAUAUAUCUAGCCACUGGAAGUUAGCUACACGGGUCGUUUUCAAUAUGUGACUUUAGCCGCUAGAAAGCAAAAUAGAAUAAUGAUGAUGAUGAUGAUGAUGCCCGAUACGUAUUGUGUUUAUUAUCAGCAGUGAUCGAACGUAAUGACGCUAUUUCGAACGCGCCCUGUCCACGUGUUCCUGAAUGUAGCCCUGCACCCGGAUGUAGUGGGUGACUAAGCUAAGGAUCAUGUUGCUAGCCCGGUUUGGUAUCUCGACCAUCAAACGUUAUAUGUUGACGAUUAUGUGAUUUAUAGCUAGAUAGAGAACUUGGAUGCAGAUUGCAAGCGUGGCCUUUUUUAACCUGUGCGCUUGGGUCAUUUGGGUGAGGAAGCCUUGAAAUCAGCACUACUGCAGGAGGAACCUGGGAGAGGCUGGAUAACCUGGGAGAGGCUGGAUAACCUGGGAGAGGCUGGAUAACCUGGGAGAGGCUGGAUAACCUGGGAGAGGCUGGAGAGACCCUGAACUGACACCCCAGCCCUGUUCCAAGCCGGCGUUGAUCUUCCUCGCCUCCAUGUCCCAGGUUUAGGUUAAACCCUUGAAGCUGGCGAGACCCUGAAGUCCCACCCCUGUGACAUCCCUGGGUCCCCUCCCCAGCCUCAGCACCAGCCUCAGCCCCUCUGACGACCUACCAUGCCCCUGAUCGUGGAUGCUGUGUGGGCCGUGUGGAGCAUCGGGGCCGGGGUCUAUGACUACUUCCACACCAGUGCCAUGGAGGAACGCAUCGGCAACCUGGAGAGCGUCCUGACCAUCCACCAGUGUGUCAUAGCAGCUCUGUCCGCAGGCCUCGUCCUCCUCAUGACCUACAUACUGUGGAGAAAACACUGAAACCAUGGUUGUAUUCAGUCAGUGAGAUGGCACCGGGGGGAAAGUUUUCCCCUAGGUACAGAUCUUGGAUCAUUUCCCCCUCCCUCAACCCUAUCUGUAACCAGUAGUGGGAGAAAAUACUAAACUGACCCAAGAUCAGCAUCUAGGGGCAACUUCACCCUACUCUAGCGGAGAUGGGAGAUGAGACGGUCCUAGAUACUCCAAACCUAAGGACUGCAUUAUGGAUAGCAUCGGCUACUCACCAAACUAACAGCCAGUCCCAAAUCACGCCCUAACCCUCCCCCAUUGUCUUAUGUCAUAUCAUGCGAUGACUGUCAGUUUAGGGACGGGGCAUUGUGUAGGAGUGACGCCACCUAGCAUAAGAUAAGGACCUUGGCACUAACCCUCAGGUGUUGGCAGAUCUGAAGGGUCUUGAUAGGUAUAAGCAGUGUAACACUGGAUCAUCACAUUACUACGACUACUGGAGCUCAACAGACAGUCCUCAACCCCUCCCUAGUCCUUCCCCUCGGCCCUGACCCUCAAAAGAACGGUCUGGAUAGGUAUGACAACUGGGUAGGAUUAUAGGAUUCUGUUUCAUCAAAGCACUACUAUUGGAAGACGAGCUCAAGAGACCACGAGGAGUUGCUUGUGGAAGCUUCCUGGAAGAAAGUAGCCCUGGUAUACAGUGCAAAGGCUCUACCAGAGCUUGUUGGAGUGGAUUCAUCCCUCCAGGUCUCGUUCGUUACUCUGCUGUUACUUGUGCAAAGGCUCUAUCAGAGCUGGUUGGAGUAGAGUCAUCCCUCCAGGUCUCGUUCGUUACUCUGCCGUUACUUGGAACGGGAUUGAGAGGAAGUCUGGGAGGUGAGGGUAGCUGGAGAGGGGUUCUUCAAUCUGAGAGCUCGAGUGCCGUGUUGACUGUAGCCUGGUCCCAGAUCUGUUUGUACUAUUGUGUCAACUCCAUGCCAUGCCAAACAUGGAAUUGACAUGAUAGCACCAACAGAUCUGGGACCAGUCUAUCAUGACUGGCUGUGAUUAGAAAACACUGUAUUUUGCUACUGUGUGGAUACUGACGUCUAGCCUGGUCCCUGAUCUGUUUGUGCUGUCUUGCCAACAAUGACCAUAAUGACCGUAGGAGUGGGCAAGACCAUAUAAACAGAUCUAGGACCAGGCUAACUCAGGCCCCUUGUUUAAUUUAAAACUAUCAUCCAUUGAAUGUGAUUGAUUCAUUUUGGUACUGUUAUAUUGCUGAAAGGGAUUUGUGAAACAUGGCUUCUGUCCAUGUCACUGUAGAAUAAGCCAACAUAAUAAUGACACUGUUGGGACUAAACAUUAUAAACCGCUUUUCUUAAAAAGGUGUUUAUCUUUCUCUUACAUGGAAGAUUUCAGACAGUUUAAGCCUAGUCCUUAGAAUAAAAAGCCUGGUCAAUGGAGAAUCUCCGUUAAGUUAUUAUUAUUUUUUUUAGCCCAGGACUAGACUUAAACUGUCUGAAAUCUUCCAUGUAAGAGAAAGAUAAACACUUUUUUUUAAGUUACUGUCGAGGUUAAACAUUGUUACACGUUUCCAUGACGAUGACACCUUUCAACGGUUUUCUCUGUAUUUGUAUGUCAUAACAUCUCCUUUUAAAAUCAUGCUUUUAUCAUUGUUGGAUCUGUUCCCUUUCUCCCUGGUUCACUAUUAUCAUGUCUGUCGGCCAUUGUUGGAUCUGUUCCCUGUCUCCCUGGUUCACUAUUAUCAUGUCUGUCGGCCAUUGUUGGAUCUGUUCCCUUUCUCCCUGGUUCACUAUUAUCAUGUCUGUCGGCCAUUGUUGUCGACUCAAGUGCUACUGUGUGUAUAUUGCUGAAUCACUACCUGGUUGUUGGUUUCUAUGUGAACAAACGGUAUUAAUGUCAGGUUAAUAAAUAAUGUGAUUAACUCUG